CCCAAGAGAUCGGGAUAACACCUGGAAACAGAUGCUAAUACCGGAUAACAACAGAUGAUGCCUAUCAACUGUUUAAAAGAUGGCUCUGCUAUCACUCUUGGAUGGACCUGCGGUGCAUUAGCUAGUUGGUAGGGUAACGGCCUACCAAGGCGAUGAUGCAUAGCCGAGUUGAGAGACUGAUCGGCCACAUUGGGACUGAGACACGGCCCAAACUCCUACGGGAGGCAGCAGAU
This 233-nucleotide ribosomal RNA is filed under the name uncultured Lactobacillus sp. RNAcentral describes it as "partial 16S ribosomal RNA". It matches the Rfam family "Bacterial small subunit ribosomal RNA", at positions 129 to 354 of the family's 1533-position model. The record is from RNAcentral. Lineage: Bacteria; Bacillati; Bacillota; Bacilli; Lactobacillales; Lactobacillaceae.